Non-coding RNA from Gavialis gangeticus (Gharial), 382 nucleotides. The record is from the annotation of a RefSeq genome assembly. Lineage: Eukaryota; Metazoa; Chordata; Crocodylia; Gavialidae.
AGAAGGAAGAAUGUCACAGCUGAAGGCUUUCAUUCUGGCUUUGGUUUAUUUAUAUGGCUCCGCACAAGUACUGAAAGAAACUCAAGUGUCUAUCACCAAGGCAGAAAGUAAAACCAUACGAAUUGAAUGCCAUGCAACCGUAUCUGAUUUUAGCAAUGCUUAUAUCCAUUGGUAUCGACAGAGACCUGGUGCACCUCCAGAGCGAAUUCUGUACUUUUCAUCACAACUCCACCUUGACAGUGACUCUGAUAAGGAAAGGUUUAAUGCAGAAAAGAAAAUUGACAAGUCCCUCUGUAUCCUGACAAUAAGAAGAAUAACCUCCAGUGAUGCUGCUACUUAUUAUUGUGCCACUUGGACAGGCACAGCAUCAGAAAGCUAUUAA